This is a long non-coding RNA of Pan troglodytes (chimpanzee), 1627 nucleotides long. RefSeq lists it as uncharacterized. The transcript is spliced from 3 exons. NCBI's taxonomy places the organism in Eukaryota, Metazoa, Chordata, Mammalia, Primates, Hominidae. The record is from RefSeq and is a predicted model, not a curated record.
GGAGGGACUUGGUGGGAGGUAAUUGAAUCAUGGGGGCAGUUACCUCUAUGCUGCUCUCAUGAUAGUGAGUUCUCCUGACGGUUUUAUAAGGUGCUUUUCCCCUUUUUGCUGGGUACUUCUGCUUGCUGCUGCCAUGUGAGGAAGGACAUGUUUACUUUCCUUUCUGCCAUGAUUGAAAGUUUCCUGAAGCCUUCCCAGCCCUGUAGAACUGCCUUCAGACCCAGACUGAAUUAUACCACUGACUUUCCUGGGACUCCAGCCUACAGAGAGCAAGCAGGCUGCAGAUUGGGGGACUUGUCAGCACUCAUAAACAUGGAAAAGCACAAGGUUUAAGAAGGCCUGGAAGGGGAGACCUAGCCAGUUGCCAGUUGAGAAGAGUAAUGGUGUGACCUGGGUGACAGCCAGAUCAAGUUGUCUUAUCAGAGCAGCUGACAGAGAAAACAGCUGAACAGACUAAUCCAAAGCAAAGCCCUUACUGUUACACUGCUAGACAACCCAGGCAUACCCAAGUCAAUUAAUAAGCCUAAAGAUAAGGAGCAGGGUAAAAAUUUGGGUGCAAAUUGGAAGACAACUGGAGCAGGGCAGGAGGUAGAACAGAUUCCAUAGUGAUGGUUAUUCUGCCCUGUGAUCUUUGUUGAACUGAACUGCUUUCUCUAGACACUAUUGUUACCAAAGGAAAUAACACGUUCUCAGUCUACCUUACUGCUUAUCGGUUGUGUGGGUCACAGGAAUUGGGGGUGAGGGACUGCUUUAAAGGAUCAGGAUCAGGGUGAACAAAAACUACUGAGGCUUCAGUGUCAGUUAUCCCAAAGCCCACAUGGAUUGUGUGAUUCUGUAAAUCCUAAACUAAAUAGGAGCAACCAUCUCUGAUAUUUAUUUUGUGCGACUGUCAACCUCAAAUGCCAUCCUGAAUUCUGUAUAUGACAGUCACCAGCCUGCCUGAUACCUCGUUGAUCAACUUUUCCCCAUGCUACCAAGCCAUGCCAGGUGGACAGAACAAUUCUCCAGGGAAGCCAAGAGCUAUCACUUCCUUUUUCUACCUAAUACAUUUUGUCCCUGAUAAUCCAUUUGUCAUAUCUGACUUUCUCCUUCCUGCUGGCAGCAACCAGAGACCCUCUCAUUACACGACUGCCAGGCUUGCUUCAGCCUGAACUGCUGCAGAAUUAACUUGUCAUGUCCGCUCCACCAUGGGAACCUGUGGGGAGUCAGAGCCUCAAACAGCUGAAACACCGGAGGGAAAGAUUUCCUGCCUGUGUCAUUUCCAUCUACAGCACCAUGGUGCACUCAUUAAGGCGUGGGUUGGAAGGUGCUAUAGACAGAUACGUGCACUGGGAGGAUGGAACCUGCUUUUGAACUUAAAACCAUGAAGACACGUGUUUGUAAGACAUUUUGCACCUUUCAAAAACAUUCUCAGAUGUGAACAGGCCAUAGGGAGGUCAUUAUUUCUCUUUUCACAGAGUUAGUUGCCAUGUUGCAGAGAAAUCUCUGAACUCUAAAUCAGGAGCAUCAGUUUAAGUAAUGUCUCUGCUACUAACCAAUUUAUGAAUCUAUGCAAAGUCACUUAACUUUUCCAAUCCGCAGCUUUUUCAACUCCAAAAUGAAGGCAAUAAAACCAAUGUUAAAGGCA